RNAcentral lists this unclassified non-coding RNA (338 nucleotides) under soil metagenome. Its description in RNAcentral is "partial contains 5.8S ribosomal RNA, internal transcribed spacer 2, and large subunit ribosomal RNA". The stretch from base 1 to 120 matches the Rfam family "5.8S ribosomal RNA", at positions 35 to 154 of the family's 154-position model. The record is from RNAcentral.
GAUGAAGAACGUAGCGAAAUGCGAUAAGUAAUGUGAAUUGCAGAAUUCAGUGAAUCAUCGAAUCUUUGAAUGCACAUUGCGCCCGGUAGUAUUCUGCCGGGCAUGCCUGUUCGAGCGUCAUUUCAACCAUCAAGCCCCAGCGCUUGUGUUGGGGGCCUGCGGCUGCCGCAGCCCCCUAAAAGCAGUGGCGGGCUCGCUAUCACACCGAGUGCAGUAGUUCAUCUUCUCUCCGGUCUUGUGAGGCGGGUUCCGGCCGUGAAACACCCCACUACAUUCAAGGUUGACCUCGGAUCAGGUAGGAGUACCCGCUGAACUUAAGCAUAUCAAUAAGCGGAGGA